This 479-nucleotide ribosomal RNA is filed under the name uncultured Acidobacteriota bacterium. RNAcentral describes it as "bacterial SSU rRNA". It matches the Rfam family "Bacterial small subunit ribosomal RNA", at positions 13 to 525 of the family's 1533-position model. The record is from RNAcentral. Lineage: Bacteria; Pseudomonadati; Acidobacteriota.
UUGAUCCUGGCUCAGAAUCAACGCUGGCGGCGUGCCUAACACAUGCAAGUCGAACGAGAAAGUGGAGCAAUCCAUGAGUACAGUGGCGUACGGGUGAGUUACACGUGACUACCUACCCUCGAGUGGGGAAUAACCUCGGGAAACCGGGGUUAAUACCGCAUAACAUCUACGGAUCAAAUGCGUAAGCAGCUUGAGGAGGUGGUCGCGGCCGAUUAGCUAGUUGGUGAGGUAAUGGCUCACCAAGGCAAUUAUCGGUAGCCGGCCUGAGAGGGCGCACGGCCACACUGGAACUGAAACACUGUCCAGACUCCUACGGGAGGCAGCAGUGGGGAAUUUUGCGCAAUGGGGGUAACCCUGACGCAGCAACGCCGCGUGGAGGAUGAGGCCCCUUGGGGUGUAUACUCCUUUCGAUCGGGACGAUUAUGACGGUACCGGAUGAAGAAGCACCGUCUAACUCUGUGCCAGCAGCCGCGGUAAUU